CCUACGGGCGGCAGCAGUGAGGAAUAUUGGUCAAUGGACGUGAGCCUGAACCAGCCAAGUCGCGUGAAGGAUGACUGCCCUAUGGGUUGUAAACUUCUUUUAUAAAGGAAUAAAGUGAGGCACGUGUGCCGUUUUGCAUGUACUUUAUGAAUAAGGAUCGGCUAACUCCGUGCCAGCAGCCGCGGUAAUACGGAGGAUCCGAGCGUUAUCCGGAUUUAUUGGGUUUAAAGGGUGCGUAGGUGGGUUGUUAAGUCAGUUGUGAAAGUUUGCGGCUCAACCAUAAAAUUGCAAUUGAUACUGGCAGGCUUGAGUACAGUUGAGGUAGGCGGAAUUCGUGGUGUAGCGGUGAAAUGCUUAGAUAUCACGCAGAACCCCGAUUGCGAAGGCAGCUUGCUAAGCUAUGACUGACGUUGAUGCACGAAAGUGUGGGUAUCAAACAGGAUUAGAUACCCGUGUAGUC
RNAcentral lists this ribosomal RNA (460 nucleotides) under uncultured bacterium. RNAcentral describes it as "partial 16S ribosomal RNA". It matches the Rfam family "Bacterial small subunit ribosomal RNA", at positions 338 to 795 of the family's 1533-position model. The record is from RNAcentral.